Long non-coding RNA from Pristis pectinata (smalltooth sawfish), 644 nucleotides. RefSeq lists it as uncharacterized. The record is from RefSeq and is a predicted model, not a curated record. The transcript has 3 exons. NCBI's taxonomy places the organism in Eukaryota, Metazoa, Chordata, Chondrichthyes, Rhinopristiformes, Pristidae.
CCGAGUGCCACUCACGGCAGAAACCCUUUUACCGAGCCACCGGCGGGGCGGGGUCCUGGCUGCGGGGACCACACCUUUAGCCCAGGGUAGCGAGGGCCAUGACUCCGAGCGAGAGGUGGGACUCUCAGACCAGUGGGGAGCUGAGGCUUUGGCUCAAGAGGCUUCGGCAAGAAGAGGCUAAGGUCACUCUCGGUCAGCGUGAGGAAUAUUCGCAGAUCCACGUCCUGCUCCUCAAGGAUGUGAAGAUACUUCAGACAACCGAUCUGCUCCAGAAACUCCGGCAAAUCCUGUCAAACAAAAUCCCGGGAAAUGACUGAUGUGAGAGAGCGGGACCAGGCCACUCUGCCCAUCGAGUCUGCUGCGCAGACGAGGGACAGGAAGGCUGAGUUUUCCGGUGUCAUUGAGGAGUCAAGUGGAGCUGGAGCAGGAAGUGUCCUUGUUUUUCCUGAGACACAACAGGAGCACGUUCAACGCCCCUUAACUCGUGGCUGUGACUGACUGACCGAGCGUCUCCAACCUGAAACGUUAACGUUUCUCUCUCCACAGAUGCUGCCCGACCUGCUGAGUGUCUACAGCAAUUUCUGUUUUUAAAGCACAGUGCAGGACGUGGCAAAGCCAGCAGUCUAGGAAGAUCCCAGCGUCAA